CCUACGGGAGGCAGCAGUGAGGAAUAUUGGUCAAUGGGCGGGAGCCUGAACCAGCCAAGUCGCGUGAGGGAAGACGGUCCUAUGGAUUGUAAACAUCUUUAGGCGGGGAGUAAUGCCGGGCACGCGUGCCCGGAGGGAGAGUACCCGCAGGAUAAGCAUCGGCUCACUCCGUGCCAGCAGCCGCGGUAAUACGGAGGGUGCGUGCGUUCACCGGAAUUAUUGGGUGUAAAGGGUGCGCAUGCGGGAUGUUAAGUCACGCGUGAAAUGUUCCGGCUCAACCCCGGGCGGGCCGUUGAAACUGGCGAUCUUGAGUGGGCGAGAGGUAUGUGGAAUGCGUGGUGUAGCGGUGAAAUGCAUAGAUAUCACGCAGAACUCCGAUUGCGAAGGCAGCAUACCGGAGCCCGACUGACGCUGAGGCACGAAAGCGUGGGGAUCGAACAGGAUUAGAUACCCGUGUAGUC
This 461-nucleotide ribosomal RNA is filed under the name uncultured bacterium. RNAcentral's name for it is "partial 16S ribosomal RNA". It matches the Rfam family "Bacterial small subunit ribosomal RNA", at positions 338 to 795 of the family's 1533-position model. The record is from RNAcentral.